GGCGGACGGGUGAGAUGGUUUAAAGGUAACCUGCCUGUAGACUGGGAUAACUCCUUGAAACCGGGGCUAAUACCGGAUGGUUGUCUGAACCGCAUGGUUCAGACAUAAAAGGUGGCUUCGGCUACCACUUACAGAUGGACCCGCGGCGCAUUAGCUAGUUGGUGAGGUAACGGCUCACCAAGGCGACGAUGCGUAGCCGACCUGAGAGGGUGAUCGGCCACACUGGGACUGAGACACGGCCCAGACUCCUACGGGAGGCAGCAGUAGGGAAUCUUCCGCAAUGGACGAAAGUCUGACGGAGCAACGCCGCGUGAGUGAUGAAGGUUUUCGGAUCGUAAAGCUCUGUUGUUAGGGAAGAACAAGUGCCGUUCAAAUAGGGCGGCACCUUGACGGUACCUAACCAGAAAGCCAUGGCUAACUAACAAACAGCAGCCGCGGUAAU
RNAcentral lists this ribosomal RNA (442 nucleotides) under Bacillus amyloliquefaciens. Its description in RNAcentral is "bacterial SSU rRNA". It matches the Rfam family "Bacterial small subunit ribosomal RNA", at positions 97 to 524 of the family's 1533-position model. Lineage: Bacteria; Bacillati; Bacillota; Bacilli; Caryophanales; Bacillaceae. The record is from RNAcentral.